CGCCGACGCCUGCUUCUCUCUUGGGAGGGCCAUGUCGCCUCAGGUCCGGCCCCCCAUCGGCCCGCCGGACGUAGGCAGGUAAGGACAGACGGCAGCUGAGAUUGGGCCUCACCUUCUUCUUCUCUGGUUAAGAAAGAAUUGGUUCUUUGGUGCGUUUUGCUGGGUGGGCGGCCUCGCUGAAUUAGUUGCCUCUGUUUUUUUCAUUUGUCAUCGAAUGUCCACCGACGGAGACCAGCACCCUCUGGAUCGCCAAGCUCUGUUCAGACCAAAAGAUAAGCGUGGAUUGCCCAAUGAAUAAAGCAAUAUCUUGAAGGUUUUUGCCGCUGCCGGUUGUUGGAUUCAUCAAACCUGCCUUUUAGAUUUGGCAAUGGAUUUGGGAUUAUUGAUGGCCUAGCCACUAAACAGUGAACGAAGGAGUCAGAGGUAGCUUGAAGCGCAAAUGCUUCACCGGCUCUGAUAAAACUCAUGUCUGCACAUGGAGCAGUACAAGCUAGCUACGACGGGCUGCGGACGCAUGUACGCGAAUGCUCAAGGAGCGCUGACCUCGGCGUCGAAAACUCGGGGCUCAGACGACCACGCCGAUCCGAAGCCCCGGCGGCAGAUCCACGCGGCCCCUUCAAGCAGUCGCCGGCCACCGCUGCCGCGCCUCCGCCACAGCCCCAGCCUGCCGCCGCGCGCAGCCCUGGCCACCUGGAGCCCAUACGCAGCCGCCCCGCAACUGGCCGACGAAAGCUUGGAGGAUUGUAGAGAGGAGGGAAGAGAAAGGGAACGCGGCGCUGUGGACUGGAGCACGGUCGUGUGGGUGUGUGUGGCUGGAGCAGGAAGAAGAGGCGACGUGGAUAAGGCACGCAGUGGGAGAUAGCUCUCCGUGUGGAUUGCUUUUUUAGUUGGCUGCAUCGACCAGAAGCUACUACUAGAUGUUGCUAUACGUGCCAGCACCGAUUGCAUUUUAUUUUUCUUCUAAAUGAGCACCAAUAUAAUAAUUGGUUGCUGUUGUUCGUUGUCACUGUUAUAGUUUAAUUUUCAUGCCUACCACAUCUUAUGAAUACAUCAUGUGAUAUACAAUAAUUAAAAAUGAGUAAAAUAUUUGAAUAAA
Long non-coding RNA from Triticum aestivum (bread wheat), 1096 nucleotides. RefSeq lists it as uncharacterized. Lineage: Eukaryota; Viridiplantae; Streptophyta; Magnoliopsida; Poales; Poaceae. The transcript has 2 exons. The record is from RefSeq and is a predicted model, not a curated record.